GCCCGAGUGGUGGAAUUGGUAGACACAGGGGACUUAAAAUCCCCCGGCCCUAGCCGGCCUUACCGGUUCGAUCCCGGUCUCGGGCACCA
RNAcentral lists this transfer RNA (89 nucleotides) under Pseudomonadota bacterium. RNAcentral describes it as "tRNA-Leu". It matches the Rfam family "tRNA". From Rfam's summary of the family: Transfer RNA (tRNA) molecules are approximately 80 nucleotides in length. Their secondary structure includes four short double-helical elements and three loops (D, anti-codon, and T loops). Further hydrogen bonds mediate the characteristic L-shaped molecular structure. tRNAs have two regions of fundamental functional importance: the anti-codon, which is responsible for specific mRNA codon recognition, and the 3' end, to which the tRNAs corresponding amino acid is attached (by aminoacyl-tRNA synthetases). tRNAs cope with the degeneracy of the genetic code in two manners: having more than one tRNA (with a specific anti-codon) for a particular amino acid; and 'wobble' base-pairing, i.e. permitting non-standard base-pairing at the 3rd anti-codon position. Lineage: Bacteria; Pseudomonadati; Pseudomonadota. RNAcentral also lists the same sequence under 2 other names. The record is from RNAcentral.